This 425-nucleotide ribosomal RNA is filed under the name uncultured bacterium. Its description in RNAcentral is "bacterial SSU rRNA". It matches the Rfam family "Bacterial small subunit ribosomal RNA", at positions 354 to 796 of the family's 1533-position model. The record is from RNAcentral.
GUGGGGAAUCUUGCGCAAUGGGCGAAAGCCUGACGCAGCCAUGCCGCGUGAAUGAUGAAGGUCUUAGGAUUGUAAAAUUCUUUCACCGGGGACGAUAAUGACGGUACCCGGAGAAGAAGCUCCGGCUAACUUCGUGCCAGCAGCCGCGGUAAUACGAAGGGGGCUAGCGUUGCUCGGAAUUACUGGGCGUAAAGGGCGCGUAGGCGGACAGCUUAGUCAGAGGUGAAAGCCCAGGGCUCAACCUUGGAAUUGCCUUUGAUACUGGCUGUCUUGAGUUUGGGAGAGGUGAGUGGAACUCCGGGUGUAGAGGUGAAAUUCGUAGAUAUUCGGAAGAACACCAGUGGCGAAGGCGACUCACUGGCCCAAUACUGACGCUGAGGCGCGAAAGCGUGGGGAGCAAACAGGAUUAGAUACCCGUGUAGUCC